UUUUUGCUUAUAAUCUCCUAGUCUCUGUUGUGAGUAAAUUGUGUUUUAAGUUCAUCUUCAGUGGCAUAUUCCAACGUUGUAGGUGGACUAAAAUGUUCAUUUAACAAAUUGCUAUAUGCCAGUAUUCUGUUUUAAGUUCUAUUAAAACUUAUUAAACUCUAUUGAGAGAAAUUGUACUUCGAGAAUUUUUAAAGCUGUCUUGGAUACUUAAUUCCUGAUCUAAUUUAAAAUCCACAUUUUUGGAGUUCCCCUCGUGGCGCAGUAGUUAAUGAAUCCGACUAGGAACCAUGAGGUUGCGGGUUCAGUCCCUGCCCUUGCUCAGUGGGUUAAUGAUCCGGCAUUGCCAUGAGCUGUGGUGUAGGUUGCAGAUGCGGCUUGGAUCCUGCGUUGCUGUGGCUCUGGCGUGGGCUGGCAGCUACAGCUCUGUUUGGACCCCUAGCCUGAGAACCUCCAUAUGCCGCGGGAGCAGCCCAAAGAAAUAGCAAAAAGACAAAAAAAAAACAAAAAAAACCACAUUUUCAUCCUAAACUUAAUAAGCUUAGAAAAUAGUUUUUCCUUAGCUGUAUGAAAAGACAUAUACAUUUUACCAUAAACAAUUAUUUCUUUAUCUUAAUUACAUAGAAAUAGAAUACUUCCAAUGUUCAGAAUAUGUGCUCAAGAAUUAUGAAAUGAUUAUGUUUACCUGUUAGUGAUAUUCACUUGACAGUUUUUUGUAGUGGUAACAAAUUUAGAAAUGUUGUCUUUAUGACUGAAAUUGAGAGCGUAGGCCCUAGCCAAUAUAUUUGAUUGACAAAAAGUCAUUUAUCAAACAGGUUCACAAUGUAGAAUUAAAGAACUAGUAUACCUUAAAAAUACUUUGAUUUGAUAGAUAAAAAAAUUUUUAAUAGAAAAAAUUAUAUUAAUAGGAGUUAUUUUUCUUUCCUUCAAAGGGUCGUUUAUAUAAGUAAAUGGUUCAGUGUUGUAAAAAUUAAGGUUAGUAUCAGCAGAAAAGCAAGAUAUUUAAAUACGUUCAUAUACAUGUGUUAUGUAACAUUAGAAAAGGAGAAUUAAAACCCAUUAACAAUAAAUACAUGCUUCUUUAUCAACUGCUAAAAUAAUAAUAUCUUUAUCAACUGCUAAAAUAAUAAUAUAUGAAAUCUCUCCUGGUGUCUAAUUUAGCUCCAGUUAUAAUGAAUAAACAUCGAGUUAAACAAAACACAUGUUUUAAGAUGGUGCUUAAUGCUAGUAAUCCAGUCUGGUAUAACACCAAAAGCAGAGAGGGCUAAAUAGGAAUUUCAUUUUUUAUGCUCUGUUUACCAUUUUAUUGUCAACUCUGAUCAUUAAAAUGAUCUAUCUUGACUAGUUAGUACAUGAAAGUGAAUCUUAAUAGAGUUGAAUUUAAUCAGUAUAUCAUAUUUGUUCCUUUUCCAGAAAGAAUAAAUAUGUUGAUUUAUUGCUACCUAGAAUGAAGAUUAAUUUAUAUUUCUUUUUAAUUAUAUAUCUCUAAUUAAUUUGCUUUUGAGAGCUGUUUUAUGAUACAGAAACAUUUUGUUACUUAAACACUUUGCAUUUUUACCGAAAACUUUUGCAUCUGUGUUCCAUUUUUUCCCUAAGCAAAGUGUAUUAUUUUUCAGAGAUCUUGCCUUAAAAUGAAUUGUAUCUACAACAUUCCCACACUGAACUAGUCUAAUAAUUAGUGUGAGCUUGGCGUUUGUUAGAUAUUAUUGAAUAUAUGAGUAAGUAUACCAUAUAAAUUCUGCAUACAUAAGUAAAGGGAAAAUAAGCUAUUUAAAUAAUAUGUAUUAAAGUAUUGUUAUUUCAAAAUUUGCUCUGAUUCUUAAGCAUCAUUAAAAUUGCCUAGAGAACUAAAAGAGAUUAGAAAUGGAUUCACUUUAGGAAAGUGUUCAAGCUAUUGUCUCAGCUGGAUCAAGCACCCAAUUCUUUUUUUUUUUUUUUUUUUUUUUUUUUUCAAGGCUGCACGUGUGGCACAUGGAGGUUCCUAGGGUAGGGGUUGAAUCACAGCUACAGCUGCUGGCCUACACCACAGCUCACAGCAACGCCAGAUUCUUAACCUACUAAGCGAGUCCAGGGACUGAACCCUCAACCUCAUGGUUCCUGGUCGGAUUUGUUUCUGCUGCACCACAACGGGAACUCCAAGCAUCCAAUUCUUGAUUACUGCCAGUCUUAGAAUUCUGAAUUCAUUAAACCAAUAUGGUAGCAAAGUGACCUUAAGCUUCCCAGUAGAGUUUAGAAGGAAUUAAAACAAAGAAAGAAGAACGGUUUCAUUCAAUGUUUAUUCAACGUGGAGUUUCUCACAUAUACCUGUCUUACACUCUGGGGAAAAAUGAUGAACACAAAUAGUCCCUCUUCUUUUACUUCAUGGAACUUGGACCUCCAGUAUUAGACAGGCACUAAUCCAAACCGUUAACAAAAGCAAAUCUAGCAUUGCUUCUGUUAUAAGAGCUUUACAAGAAAAGAGCUUUGUGCUAUGAGAACAGUGAUAGUAUUUGCUAUUGCAGGAACAUCUUGAAAUUCUGUUGAAAAUACACUUUAGAUAAUAGCCGAUGGAUAAGUAGGAGUUAAGAUAGAGUGAAAGAUUGCUGUGUGGAAUGAAGCAUCAUUGAAUAUCCCAUAUCAGAUAGUGAGGGUGGUUUAUUUGAGAAACUUGAAAAAGACAUACAUACUGAUUUAAAUAAAGAGGUUGGUUUAAUAUGCAAUCCUCAAAAUAGGUUAAGAACCAGAUAUGUGAAACUGUUCACAUACUAUAUAGAGCUUUACUUUUCCCUUAAAGCAAUGUGUUCUGAAUGAUUAUAGGCAAGCUUAUGAAACCACUAUAUUUGUGGGUUUUUUUAUUUGUGUUUUUAAAAGUUUUUUCUUACAAUGAAACAAAGAAUCGAAGAUAUUCAAAGUGUAUGUGAGUUUGCUAUUAUAUAUAAGAUUACUGCAGUAAUUCAGACCUGUAAUGACGGAAGUUUAAAUUUGCUUAGAGAUAGAUAUUCAAGAUGGAGAGAAGACCAUGAUUUCUGGGAUAGUGGUGGUUAUUAUGACUCUGGGAUAACUAGAACUAGAGAGUAAAGGUGGAAAAUGUGUUAGGAUGAUUUUCAUCAUUACCUAUGGAUAGCAGUUCCUGUUACCUGAAACAGUCAAUGCUGAAAGAGGGCUAAUUUGAAUUUACUAUGUUAUAAACACUUUGACUUGUCUUAAUUAAAAUAAGUCAAAAUUAACACUAACUUCUCUUAAAAUAAGUUUGAAGGUGGAAAAAGUAGUGCUUUUUGUAGAAGGAUGCAGAAAAUUCUGACACAUUUCUUGAUUUUAUUCCAUGUUUCCAUGUACAUCAUUCUUUAGGUUUCAAGGAAGAAAGCUAUUUUUACUUCUAAAAGGAUGUGGAAAAAAGGUAUCUAGAUCUAACGGCUGGAAUGCAAAAAGAAAACAAAACUAAUAAACUUAAGCAAAUAAUACUUAAAUUUUACUUUAAAUAUUGCUGUUUUGCUUAAAAUUGUGAAACCAAAUGCAGUAGUCUCUUCAUUUUGUUGGAGUCUGUGGAAUUCUGGGACAUAGGUUUGCUCCCUGGCCUGCAUAGUGGGUUAAGGAUCUGGUGUUGCAACAGCUGCAGUGUAGGUUGCAACUGCAUCUCCUGGCCAAGGAAAUUCCAUAGGCAAUGGGGGUGCCCCCCCAAAAAAAUUAGUAAACUAAAAUAUUCCUUAUGACUGUCAAAGUCAUGUUCAAAAAGUGUUGACCAGAAUGAAUGAAGACUUUGAUUUCAACAUAUUUUUGGUAGUUGGUGCAUGUGUAUUUUUGCGUGUAUGUGUAUAUGUUUAAAGUCCUUAAUUGGGUUAAAAUUUUUCCUUUCUAGUUUUUUUCUUGAACUUGAAACAGCAUUUUUUUCACCAUUCCCAUGGAAUAAUUGUCCACUUACAUUUAGUGAUUUGUGUUACAUUUGAAUUUAUUUCUGUAAUCAUAUGAUAUGCUUGCCCUUCCUUCCUUUCUUCCUCCCUUCUUUCUCUCUCUCUCCCUCUCUCUCCCUCCCACCUCUCCCUUCUUUCUUUCUUUGGGCUUUCUAGGGCCACACCUGUGGCAUAUGGAGGUUCCCAGGCUAGGGGUUGAAUUGGAGCUGCAGCUACUGGCUUAUGUCACAGCCACAGCAACGGAGGAUCCAGGCCCCGUCUGCGACUUCCACCGCAACUCACUGCAGCGCUGGAUCCUUAACCCACUGAGCAAGGCCAGGAAUGGAACCCACAUCCUCAUUGAUACUAGUUGAGCUCCUUACUUCUGAGCCACAAAGGGAUCUUCCAGUUUCUUUGUUACACUUUUUUUGGUCCUUCUACUUCCUCUUGCUUUUGUUUUGAGUUGAAUGCAUUUUUUAAAUUUACUUUCAUAUUAUUUAUCUAAUUUUUCAGAAGUUAUGUAUUUAUUUUAUUGAUUUGUUGCUUUUUCUAGGUACAUUAUGCCUUGAUUUACUUAUUACAUCCAAAUGUAACUAAUACCUUUUCUUCAUCUCAAAUUAUAAAAGGGUAUUAGAGACAUUUAACUUUGCCCUUUAACCCUCAUCUUGGCCCCAUCUACACUGUCUGUUAUUGCUGUCUAGGAUUUAAGAUCUAACCUGCCCCUCCAAACUAAAUAUGAGUAUUACUUCAUAAAACAAAUUAUUGUUUAAUUUAUUUACAUACAUUUUGCUGUCUACCUUAAGAUUUCUUCUUGCAUUUAAUACCUUAACUUAUGGCCAAUUUUUCUCUUCCUAAAAAAUAAUUUUUUUGAGGGGAUAUGCGACAUGGAAGUUCCCAGGCCAGGGAUAGAAUUCUGUUUGCAGCUGCAAGAACACAAUGUUGGAUUCUUAACUUGCUGUGCCAAGGGGGAAGUCCAAAAAAAUACUUCCUAAAGAUUACUUUAGUGAGUAUAUUUGUGUGAUGAAACUCUAGUUUUCCUGAAAAUAUCUUUAUAAUUAAAUCAUUCACACAGAUAAUUUCAUUAAGUAAAGAUUAUUGGUUAGCAGUUAUUUAUCUCCUCUCAUUAAGGAUAUUUCUUCAAUAUUUUAUACCUUCUGUUGUUCCUAUUGACAGUUCACUGGACAGUUUAAUUACUUUCUCUUUGAAACUGCUUUAUGUUUUCUUAUUGGCUAUUUAAAAAAUUAUCAAAGUAUAGUUGAUUUACAAUGUUGUGCCUUUUUCUGCUGUAGAGCAGAGUGACUCAGUCAUACAUAUAUGCAUUUUCUAAAAUAUAUUCCAUCUUAUUGGCUUUUUUAAAUGUUCUUUGCCUCUGCUUUUCUGCUAUUUUAUGGUGGUAUGUCUGGACAUGGAUUUCUCAUUAAUUAUUCUCAUUGGGAAUGGAUGACUCCCAGAUAUGAUUAAUAUCUUUCAAAAUUUCUGGAAAAUAUUCAGCUCUUUCAAUAGCACCUUCUUAUUGCCAUUCAGAACUCUGAUUAGAUGUACGUCAAGACUUUUCACUAUUUCUUCAAUGUAAUGUGGGCAUGUAUAGGCAGAAAUAGAAUUUCUUUGGGUCAUUUUUCCAGUUCACUUACUCUUUCAUGAGUUAUAUAUAAACUACUAUUUCAUCUAUCAAUUAAAAUAUCUAGUUAUAAUUGAAAGAUAUAGAAAUUGCAUUUAGUUAAUUUUUGCAAAUUUUUCUUUUAUUUCCCUAAUUAAAAAACUCUAUUUUUAUUACAUUUGUUUCCAAUAAUUGCAGUAGCUGAAAUCUUUGUGUGUCUUUCUGCUGUAAUCUGUGUUAAUUUUUAUGCAUGCUGUCUUCUCUAUUUGUGUGCUUGUGUGUGUGUAUGAAACUGUUUUUUGGGCGUUCUCAUUGUGGUACAGUGGGUUAAAGAUCUGGCGUUGCUGCAGCUGUGGUGCAGGUCACAG
Molecule: long non-coding RNA, 5828 nt
Filed under: Sus scrofa (pig)
Lineage: Eukaryota; Metazoa; Chordata; Mammalia; Artiodactyla; Suidae
Description: lncRNA (ENSSSCG00035067987.1)
Source: RNAcentral